This 1530-nucleotide ribosomal RNA is filed under the name Triticum aestivum (bread wheat). Its description in RNAcentral is "partial small subunit ribosomal RNA". Lineage: Eukaryota; Viridiplantae; Streptophyta; Magnoliopsida; Poales; Poaceae. The record is from RNAcentral.
AUGGUGACAGCCGAAAGCCUACGUGCAGAGCUGUCAUCCAAGACGCCACCGUUUGGCCUGAGGCUGUGGAUAGUGAUUGGCAUCAGCAUCUGGGUGGUAAUCUUCUGUAUACUGGGUUUCAUGUGCUUCUGGUCCAUUUACCGGAGGAAGCCGAAGAAGUCUGUUGAUAAGAUCCCAGUAUCUCAAAUCCCGGAUGUAUCAAAGGAGAUUGCAGUAGAUGAAGUGCGCCAGCAUGCUGUUGUUGAGAACUAUCAAGCUCAAGAAAGCCACACCUUGACGGUGCAGGAGAAACCUCAUGACAAAGAUUCUGGGAAAAUGCUGGGACACUUGGUCAGGACAAAGUCGAGCGAUGCCGAUAAUUUGAGCCAGUGCAGCUCGGCCUACCAAUGCGAUAGGGCUGGUAGUGCUUAUUCUGGCGAUGAAGGCAGCUCGGGCAACGCUAGGAGGCAAUAUUCUCAGUAUGCGACCGUCUCCGCAUCUCCUCUUGUUGGACUCCCCGAAUUUUCGCACUUGGGUUGGGGCCAUUGGUUCACUCUGAGGGAUUUGGAGCAUUCGACGAAUCGCUUCUCUAAGGAGAACAUCAUUGGAGAGGGUGGAUAUGGGGUGGUUUACCGUGGUCGACUCAUAAAUGGGACUGAUGUAGCAAUAAAAAAGCUACUGAAUAACAUGGGCCAGGCAGAAAAGGAGUUCAGGGUUGAAGUUGAGGCUAUUGGCCAUGUCAGGCAUAAAAAUCUCGUCCGUCUGCUAGGAUAUUGUGUUGAAGGAAUCCACAGGAUGCUUGUGUAUGAGUAUGUGAAUAACGGAAACUUAGAGCAGUGGAUUCAUGGCGCCAUGCGGCAGCACGGUGUUCUUACCUGGGAAGCUCGAAUGAAAAUCAUUCUUGGAAUUGCUAAAGCGCUUGCUUACCUACAUGAAGCCAUAGAGCCAAAAGUUGUGCACCGUGAUAUCAAAUCAAGCAAUAUCCUAAUUGAUGAGGAUUUCAAUGGGAAGCUUUCCGAUUUUGGAUUGGCUAAGAUGCUGGGUGCAGGGAAGAGCCAUAUCACGACUCGAGUUAUGGGAACUUUCGGGUAUGUGGCCCCCGAGUAUGCCAACACAGGUCUGUUAAACGAGAAGAGUGAUGUGUACAGUUUUGGCGUGCUGCUCCUGGAAGCAGUGACUGGGAGGGAUCCUGUUGACUAUGGUCGGCCAGCUAAUGAGGUGCAUCUGGUGGAGUGGCUCAAAAUGAUGGUCGGCACAAAGAGAGCCGACGAGGUGGUGGACCGUGACAUGGAGGUGAAGCCAACCAUCCGUGCUCUCAAGCGCGCCCUCCUAGUGGCGCUGCGGUGUGUCGACCCGGACUCCGAGAAGAGACCCACGAUGGGUCACGUCGUCCGGAUGCUCGAGGCAGAGGACGUCCCGUCGCGGGAGGACCGGAGGAGCCGGAGGGGCGGCCAUGCCGGUGGUGGCAACGCGGACGCCGAGUCCAAGGCGAGCUCGAGCGAGUUCGAGGUGAGCGGCGACUCGGGGCCCUCGGCGAGGUUCCAGCCAUGA